AGCGAACGCUGGCGGCAGGCUUAACACAUGCAAGUCGAGCGGGCGUAGCAAUACGUCAGCGGCAGACGGGUGAGUAACGCGUGGGAACAUACCUUUUGGUUCGGAACAACACAGGGAAACUUGUGCUAAUACCGGAUAAGCCCUUACGGGGAAAGAUUUAUCGCCGAAAGAUUGGCCCGCGUCUGAUUAGCUAGUUGGUGAGGUAAUGGCUCACCAAGGCGACGAUCAGUAGCNGGUCUGAGAGGAUGAUCAGCCACAUUGGGACUGAGACACGGUCCAGACUCCUACGGGAGGCAGCAGUGGGGAAUCUUGCGCAAUGGGCGAAAGCCUGACGCAGCGACGCCGCGUGAGUGAUGAA
Molecule: ribosomal RNA, 358 nt
Filed under: uncultured bacterium
Lineage: Bacteria
Description: bacterial SSU rRNA
Rfam family: Bacterial small subunit ribosomal RNA
Source: RNAcentral